RNAcentral lists this ribosomal RNA (3022 nucleotides) under Staphylococcus aureus. RNAcentral's name for it is "23S ribosomal RNA". It matches the Rfam family "Bacterial large subunit ribosomal RNA". Lineage: Bacteria; Bacillati; Bacillota; Bacilli; Caryophanales; Staphylococcaceae. The record is from RNAcentral.
GAUUAAGUUAUUAAGGGCGCACGGUGGAUGCCUUGGCACUAGAAGCCGAUGAAGGACGUUACUAACGACGAUAUGCUUUGGGGAGCUGUAAGUAAGCUUUGAUCCAGAGAUUUCCGAAUGGGGAAACCCAGCAUGAGUUAUGUCAUGUUAUCGAUAUGUGAAUACAUAGCAUAUCAGAAGGCACACCCGGAGAACUGAAACAUCUUAGUACCCGGAGGAAGAGAAAGAAAAUUCGAUUCCCUUAGUAGCGGCGAGCGAAACGGGAAGAGCCCAAACCAACAAGCUUGCUUGUUGGGGUUGUAGGACACUCUAUACGGAGUUACAAAGGACGACAUUAGACGAAUCAUCUGGAAAGAUGAAUCAAAGAAGGUAAUAAUCCUGUAGUCGAAAAUGUUGUCUCUCUUGAGUGGAUCCUGAGUACGACGGAGCACGUGAAAUUCCGUCGGAAUCUGGGAGGACCAUCUCCUAAGGCUAAAUACUCUCUAGUGACCGAUAGUGAACCAGUACCGUGAGGGAAAGGUGAAAAGCACCCCGGAAGGGGAGUGAAAUAGAACCUGAAACCGUGUGCUUACAAGUAGUCAGAGCCCGUUAAUGGGUGAUGGCGUGCCUUUUGUAGAAUGAACCGGCGAGUUACGAUUUGAUGCAAGGUUAAGCAGUAAAUGUGGAGCCGUAGCGAAAGCGAGUCUGAAUAGGGCGUUUAGUAUUUGGUCGUAGACCCGAAACCAGGUGAUCUACCCUUGGUCAGGUUGAAGUUCAGGUAACACUGAAUGGAGGACCGAACCGACUUACGUUGAAAAGUGAGCGGAUGAACUGAGGGUAGCGGAGAAAUUCCAAUCGAACCUGGAGAUAGCUGGUUCUCUCCGAAAUAGCUUUAGGGCUAGCCUCAAGUGAUGAUUAUUGGAGGUAGAGCACUGUUUGGACGAGGGGCCCCUCUCGGGUUACCGAAUUCAGACAAACUCCGAAUGCCAAUUAAUUUAACUUGGGAGUCAGAACAUGGGUGAUAAGGUCCGUGUUCGAAAGGGAAACAGCCCAGACCACCAGCUAAGGUCCCAAAAUAUAUGUUAAGUGGAAAAGGAUGUGGCGUUGCCCAGACAACUAGGAUGUUGGCUUAGAAGCAGCCAUCAUUUAAAGAGUGCGUAAUAGCUCACUAGUCGAGUGACACUGCGCCGAAAAUGUACCGGGGCUAAACAUAUUACCGAAGCUGUGGAUUGUCCUUUGGACAAUGGUAGGAGAGCGUUCUAAGGGCGUUGAAGCAUGAUCGUAAGGACAUGUGGAGCGCUUAGAAGUGAGAAUGCCGGUGUGAGUAGCGAAAGACGGGUGAGAAUCCCGUCCACCGAUUGACUAAGGUUUCCAGAGGAAGGCUCGUCCGCUCUGGGUUAGUCGGGUCCUAAGCUGAGGCCGACAGGCGUAGGCGAUGGAUAACAGGUUGAUAUUCCUGUACCACCUAUAAUCGUUUUAAUCGAUGGGGGGACGCAGUAGGAUAGGCGAAGCGUGCGAUUGGAUUGCACGUCUAAGCAGUAAGGCUGAGUAUUAGGCAAAUCCGGUACUCGUUAAGGCUGAGCUGUGAUGGGGAGAAGACAUUGUNNNNNNNNNNNNNNNNNNNNNNNNNNNNNNNNNNNNNNNNNNNNNNNNNNNNNNNNNNNNNNNNNNNNNNNNNNNNNNNNNNNNNNNNNNNNNNNNNGUGUCUUCGAGUCGUUGAUUUCACACUGCCGAGAAAAGCCUCUAGAUAGAAAAUAGGUGCCCGUACCGCAAACCGACACAGGUAGUCAAGAUGAGAAUUCUAAGGUGAGCGAGCGAACUCUCGUUAAGGAACUCGGCAAAAUGACCCCGUAACUUCGGGAGAAGGGGUGCUCUUUAGGGUUAACGCCCAGAAGAGCCGCAGUGAAUAGGCCCAAGCGACUGUUUAUCAAAAACACAGGUCUCUGCUAAACCGUAAGGUGAUGUAUAGGGGCUGACGCCUGCCCGGUGCUGGAAGGUUAAGAGGAGUGGUUAGCUUCUGCGAAGCUACGAAUCGAAGCCCCAGUAAACGGCGGCCGUAACUAUAACGGUCCUAAGGUAGCGAAAUUCCUUGUCGGGUAAGUUCCGACCCGCACGAAAGGCGUAACGAUUUGGGCACUGUCUCAACGAGAGACUCGGUGAAAUCAUAGUACCUGUGAAGAUGCAGGUUACCCGCGACAGGACGGAAAGACCCCGUGGAGCUUUACUGUAGCCUGAUAUUGAAAUUCGGCACAGCUUGUACAGGAUAGGUAGGAGCCUUUGAAACGUGAGCGCUAGCUUACGUGGAGGCGCUGGUGGGAUACUACCCUAGCUGUGUUGGCUUUCUAACCCGCACCACUUAUCGUGGUGGGAGACAGUGUCAGGCGGGCAGUUUGACUGGGGCGGUCGCCUCCUAAAAGGUAACGGAGGCGCUCAAAGGUUCCCUCAGAAUGGUUGGAAAUCAUUCAUAGAGUGUAAAGGCAUAAGGGAGCUUGACUGCGAGACCUACAAGUCGAGCAGGGUCGAAAGACGGACUUAGUGAUCCGGUGGUUCCGCAUGGAAGGGCCAUCGCUCAACGGAUAAAAGCUACCCCGGGGAUAACAGGCUUAUCUCCCCCAAGAGUUCACAUCGACGGGGAGGUUUGGCACCUCGAUGUCGGCUCAUCGCAUCCUGGGGCUGUAGUCGGUCCCAAGGGUUGGGCUGUUCGCCCAUUAAAGCGGUACGCGAGCUGGGUUCAGAACGUCGUGAGACAGUUCGGUCCCUAUCCGUCGUGGGCGUAGGAAAUUUGAGAGGAGCUGUCCUUAGUACGAGAGGACCGGGAUGGACAUACCUCUGGUGUACCAGUUGUCGUGCCAACGGCAUAGCUGGGUAGCUAUGUGUGGACGGGAUAAGUGCUGAAAGCAUCUAAGCAUGAAGCCCCCCUCAAGAUGAGAUUUCCCAACUUCGGUUAUAAGAUCCCUCAAAGAUGAUGAGGUUAAUAGGUUCGAGGUGGAAGCAUGGUGACAUGUGGAGCUGACGAAUACUAAUCGAUCGAAGACUUAAUCAA